UACGUAGGUGGCAAGCGUUGUUCGGAAUUACUGGGCGUAAAGCGCGCGUAGGCGGCUCUUCAAGUCAGGCGUGAAAGCCCCGGGCUUAACUCGGGAACUGCGCUUGAUACUGUCGAGCUAGAGUGUGGAAGGGGCGAUUGGAAUUCCGUGUGUAGCGGUGAAAUGCGUAGAUAUCGGAAGGAACACCGGUGGCGAAAGCGGCGCGCUGGACCUCUUCUGACGCUGAGGCGCGAAAGCCAGGGGAGCGAACGGG
This 253-nucleotide ribosomal RNA is filed under the name uncultured bacterium. RNAcentral describes it as "partial 16S ribosomal RNA". It matches the Rfam family "Bacterial small subunit ribosomal RNA", at positions 524 to 776 of the family's 1533-position model. The record is from RNAcentral.